Molecule: unclassified non-coding RNA, 287 nt
Filed under: Hevea brasiliensis (rubber tree)
Lineage: Eukaryota; Viridiplantae; Streptophyta; Magnoliopsida; Malpighiales; Euphorbiaceae
Source: RNAcentral
GGAAGGAGUAGGACUUGACACAAACAGAACAGGAUGCAACAUAAACAAAUGCUACAAAUACAUGCAUGCCUGCAUCCAUAAUGAGACAACAGGGAAAGGUCCAAGGGGUACUCCUAACUUUUUAUAAGGAAACUGAGGCAUUAGUUUGGACAGUAGGAUCAGCACCAUUCUAGGCCAUGCCAGUAAUCCAUAACGCUUAGCUUUUUCUUUUUCAUUUUACUCUCCCUGAUUUAUAUCUAGUGCAAUUAUUCUAAUAGCAUCCAUUCUAUUUUCCCCCUAAUCACAUC